CUACGGGGGGCUCCAGUGAGGAAUCUUGCGCAAUGGGGGAAACCCUGACGCAGCGACGCCGCGUGGGUGAUGAAGGCCUUCGGGUCGUAAAGCCCUGUCGAGAGGGAAGAAUUGCAUUUAGGUUAAUAGCCUAAUUGUUUGACGGUACCUCCAAAGGAAGCACCGGCUAACUCCGUGCCAGCAGCCGCGGUAAUACGGAGGGUGCAAGCGUUGUUCGGAAUCACUGGGCGUAAAGGGCGUGGAGGCGGCUGAGUAAGUCAGGUGUGAAAUCCCUCGGCUCAACCGAGGAAGUGCAUUUGAUACUGCUCAUCUUGAGUACUGGAGAGGGAGAUGGAAUUCCCGGUGUAGAGGUGAAAUUCGUAGAUAUCGGGAGGAACACCAGUGGCGAAGGCGAUCUCCUGGACAGAUACUGACGCUAAGGCGCGAAAGCGUGGGGAGCAAACAGGAUUAGAUACCCCUGUAGUC
Molecule: ribosomal RNA, 465 nt
Filed under: uncultured bacterium
Lineage: Bacteria
Description: partial 16S ribosomal RNA
Rfam family: Bacterial small subunit ribosomal RNA
Source: RNAcentral